GGUGGCUUUUAUUAUCGCUCUGACUCCUUGUCAUGGUGGAAUGAAAUUAAUCAUUUUGCUUUAUGACACAUGUUGUCUCCGUGUAUAUGUGCAUUGCCGAACUCGAACCAGUGAGACCUAGGAUGAUUCCAUAUUUUUGAGCCUAGACGGUAAGGGAGCAGAUUCCCGGAUUUGACGCUGGUCUUUGUAAGCAACUUUUAAUAUCGUAAAAAUAAUAUCCGAGUAGUAGGAGAAUUAUGUGGCUGAGGGUUUGCGCUUUGUUCUCAUAUACGCUGACCAUUGUUUCAUUUGAAAAAUAAUGCUUUACGAGGCAUAGACUGGACACAAGAAAAAAACGUGGAGUUUAACCUUAGAUCGAUAUAACUGAAUGCUUCAAAUAAUAAUUGUAGUGUUUAUUGUUCACUUCUCACGAUUUAUAGAUUGAUCACCUUAUAGAUUACGUCUUGUGUCUCGUACAAUGUCCACGGCGUCAACCUUAGUUUUCAACAUAAAGGCGUAGCACUAAGUGCUAGCACGGUAAUCACUAUACACAAACAGGUAGUAGUCUUAACUAUGCAAUUCAUUCAGCAUAUUCGCAUACUAUCUAGCGGUUGCAAAAGACUUGGCUAGAAGGCCGCUAUUACAUCAUACCGUUUAAUGAGGCCAACCUGCCCGCCAGAGCUUAACCUAGGGGCCUUCUCUGGCCUGUACGUAGUCCUAUUCUCACUGACACUAGUUGUAGAGAUGUCCUAUAAAACGCAGGCCAUACAGAGAAACAUCGACAACUUGCCCGGCUCUGUAAUCUGCCUUCAAUGAAUCCUCAGUUCGCUCCGGUCAGUUUAAUAACAACAAGCCCGAUUCAUAACGUUGCAUGCUAAUAUGAUCAGAACGUAUUUGUCGUAACUAGCGUUGUGUACUUAAUGGAAAAUUUCAGUGUAUCAUUUAUUCGCUCCGCCCAUUUGCCAUUCGAGCUACGUGACCCUUGCUAGCAGCAUUCACGGGUUUACUAUACAGUGAAGUCUCUCCAUGAUGUUGCUAGUCUGAUAAGCUAGAAAUGAUGUUGUGACUGCACAACUAUCAAACAUAAAUUAACGUACCGGUCGUACCACUUGAGUAUAUUGAUCUGGUAACGAUUUCUGGGAAACAUUAGAAUCCACUGAAAACUUAGAAAUUUCCUUGUAAUGCAAUCAACUUCUCUAAACUAACGACCAAAUGGUCGCUGGGCAAAUGAGAGAACGCUGUAAGAAAAUAUGAAGUGAAUUAGGACACAGACUAAGCAUAGGUUAUACUUAGCGGCAUAUAUUUAAGUACUACCAGGAGUUUGCCAAAAAAUGCUUCAUUGUAAUCCACUUGCUCAGGCAGUGUAUCUGGGAGGCGCACAUUUGAUGACCUAAUAAUUGCGUCGAUACUAUGUAAGUCUUGGCUGUCUAUUUGUUUGCAUCCCAUGCAUGCAACAUGUGCUUAUAGGAAGCCUCAUGUAAAAUAUUUGUUUAUAUUAUUUGAAGAAUAGUUAGUUCUUCGAUCACCGAUCUCGCUGAUCGUAUCAUUCUGUAUCCACUCGUUUUGCCUCUUUCUCUAGGUCUGCAUACUAGCUGUAUUGCUAUGCGCAAAGUAAACUAUCUGCCGUAGAAGUGAAGCGGCGAAAAGAAAUAAUGCGGGUGAAGUAAAGGCGAAUAGGGCCCUUGGGCACGGUGUCGGGACGCCGCCAGCUGACUUUCUAGACUCGGUCAGCUCCGACUGUUAUUCUUGGGAGAAGUGCUGCGUUAGCUAUAUUUGCUCUUAGCUCUUGUUAUCCUGUAGUCCAAUAUGCGAUAGGCAAUGCAAGACGGGAAAUGGGCUGUGCAGUUCAACGUAAUUUCUGUUAUACGUGGUUUCACACAUAAAAACAAUUCAUAAAAGCAUAUAGAGUAUUCUGUCUACGAGCAAUGAAAUUUCUUUAUCUAAUCAAAUCUAGGAAAUUGUGUAUUAAGCUUAAGUAUCAGUAGAUUGUUAUUGAUUAUUUAUUUAUUGAUUUAUUAGUUACUAUUAAAACUCUGGUUAAUUUCUUCUUCUUCUUCUCCUUUAGAGAUGAAUUUACCAGAAUGAACAUAGGAUCUGACCUACCUUCAUAUACAUAUAUAUAUGAAAUAUAUAUAUAAUAUAUAUGUAUAUUUCAUACUAUAUUGGUUUGAUCAUCAUGUUGAAAACAUACGAAACUAAAAAGCGAUCAGGAAAUGAAAACUAACUAUUUGUUAUAUAUAUAUAUAACCACGGUAUUAUAAAAUACAUGCCCCUGGAGUUUGCUCCCACAAGGCUGUGAAGAGCUGCUGGGUGGUUUGCUGAUCAGUUGUAUGCGGCUAACCGACCGCCGUAGUACUACCUACUGUGGUAUCAACGUUAAAUCACAUAAAAAAUCUGCCUGUGGCGGGCCUCAUCGGUUUUAGAAUGCACUCAUGACGUGUCGCUGUUAACUUCACUUCAGUGAAGCCUAAAAACGACGUCCCGUUGUAGGAGGCGGUACGUGCUAUGGCGCAAAUGCUUGUCUGUAACGCUUGUAGUCCUUAUCCUGGGGAUAUAUCGCGAGUACCGAACAGGUAAACAUCUUUGAAACAAAAUGUGUGGUAUAAAUGCCUUUCUGAGACGCGUAUGGGAGUGAGGAAGGGGAUGAAUCAAAUCAAUAAAAAAUGAACUAUACAACAGACCUUUUGUUAAGUCUUAAGCCAGAAUCUACCCUCCUAUACCGUGAAUCUACAAACUCAAAAAAAAAAAGCUGGUUGUCUGCUUAUAGCAUACUUUGCUUAUAUAACUUGCGUAAAACCGACACUAUUUUGUAAUUUUGCUAGUACCUCAUUUUGUUUCUUUUUUGUAUAACUAACUUUCGUAGCUAAAAAAGAGGUCAGUGCUUUUUUGAAGUCUACAGCUCAAUUCUUUUCAGACUCUAACUUUCCAGAUACUAGCACUUUGAACAAAUGUAAAUCCCAAAGGACAACUAACAACGAAGCAAUAAAAUAUAACGUCGUGUUUCUAUUCAUUUGCCAACAUCCUUCUAAUUCCCAGCCUGUACUAAAACAGCUGAACCCGAGUCAGCGUCAGCCACUUCGGGAAGAGACAGCCCGCUCAUCUCGCGGGAAUUUCUUCAUUCGCCCGAGGGCAGACCUUGACGUCUUUUCUAUUUCGCACGUCGACUAUUCGCGCAAAUAAAGAUAAGAUGGACCAAAGCAUUAACAAGGUGAAAUAAUUACCGUUAUAAACCAAAUCUAGAGAUCAGAGUUGAGUGCUGGCGUAGAAGUAUCACUCAUUUUUGGUGGUCAUAGUCAAUUGACACAAUAGAAACCUUCAGUCUAUCCCAUUGCGUUAAUCGAUGUCGCGUCAUGUUUAUACCUGCUGAUCCAGGAGUUUGCGCUGCAACUGGAGUUCGAGCUCGCGGGUGACAAGAGAUUACUGAACGUGAACUAAUCAUAUUCCAUGCUAAGAUGCAAGGUACUUAAUUACCUAAGUAUGAAGACGAAUUUUAUCAAUCAAUGCAACCGAAGUACGAAGAUCGGCGUAAAAAAACGC
Molecule: long non-coding RNA, 3516 nt
Organism: Varroa destructor (honeybee mite)
Lineage: Eukaryota; Metazoa; Arthropoda; Arachnida; Mesostigmata; Varroidae
Source: RefSeq, a predicted model, not a curated record